This 274-nucleotide long non-coding RNA is filed under the name Zea mays. Its description in RNAcentral is "long non-coding RNA (ZMAY_LNC005060)". The record is from RNAcentral. Lineage: Eukaryota; Viridiplantae; Streptophyta; Magnoliopsida; Poales; Poaceae.
UCAACGCAGCAUGUAGUAACAAGGAGAAACCCAACAAAAUCGCAACAGACGGAUGAUGCCUUGGCUAGUUGACUGGGAAAAUGAGAUAGCUUCUGGAACGGACUUCAACUUGAAUUCCUGAAAUCAUAAGUUCGAUGUGCGCAAUGUCAAGAAACCACAAUUGGUCAUGGGUUCUCUUGCAUUUUCUCAUGGAAGUGAAGAAACGAAAAAAGUGAAGCAACGGAACUGUCUUCCCACGAGAAAUGUUCAAUGACUGGGAAAAAGGUUCUAGGAC